This 353-nucleotide ribosomal RNA is filed under the name Gomphus externus (plains clubtail). Its description in RNAcentral is "partial 12S ribosomal RNA". The record is from RNAcentral. Lineage: Eukaryota; Metazoa; Arthropoda; Insecta; Odonata; Gomphidae.
AAUAAAUGUGAAUUUUUAUGCCAGGGUAGUAAUAGUUAUGUUCUUGAAACCCAAAGAAUUUGGCGGUAUUUUAGUCCUUUCAGAGGAAUCUGUCCCGUAAUCGACAGUCCACGAGAUAAUUUACUUAUCCUUGUAUUUCAGUUUGUAUACCUCCGUCAUAAGAAGAUCUUUUUAGAGAUAAAUUUUCUUAAUAUAUUAAGUAUAGAAUGUCAGGUCAAGGUGCAAUUUAUGGAUGAGUGGAGAUGGAUUACAAUAAAUUUAUUUAAAUGGAUUAAAUUAUUUAAUUUUUUAUGAAGGUGGAUUUGAUAGUAAUUUUAAUUAUUUGUUAUUAUGAUUUUGGCUCUAAAAUAUGC